GAUCAUGGCUCAGGAUGAACACUGGCGGCAUGCUUAACACAUGCAAGUCGAGGGGCAGCAUGGUCUUAGCUUGCUAAGGCCGAUGGCGACCGGCGCACGGGUGAGUAACGCGUAUCCAACCUGCCCAUCACUUGGGAAUAACCUUGCGAAAGUAAGACUAAUACCCAAUGAUAUCCCACGAAGGCAUCCGAAUGGGAUUAAAGAUUUAUCGGUGAUGGAUGGGGAUGCGU
Molecule: ribosomal RNA, 230 nt
Filed under: uncultured bacterium
Lineage: Bacteria
Description: partial 16S ribosomal RNA
Rfam family: Bacterial small subunit ribosomal RNA
Source: RNAcentral